Molecule: ribosomal RNA, 563 nt
Filed under: uncultured archaeon
Lineage: Archaea
Description: bacterial SSU rRNA
Rfam family: Archaeal small subunit ribosomal RNA
Source: RNAcentral
GGGUGCACCAGGCGCGAAAACUUUACAAUGCUGGAAACAGCGAUAAGGGGACCUCGAGUGCCAGGUUACAAAUCUGGCUGUCGUGAUGCCUAAAAAGCAUUGCAUAGCAAGGGCCGGGCAAGACCGGUGCCAGCCGCCGCGGUAACACCGGCGGCUCGAGUGGUAACCGUUAUUAUUGGGUCUAAAGGGUCUGUAGCCGGCCGGAUAAGUCUCUUGGGAAAUCCAGCAGCUCAACUGUUGGGCUUUCAGGAGAUACUGUCUGGCUCGAGGCCGGGAGAGGUGAGAGGUACUUCAGGGGUAGGGGUGAAAUCUUGUAAUCCUUGAAGGACCACCAGUGGCGAAGGCGUCUCACCAGAACGGACCUGACGGCAAGGGACGAAAGCUAGGGGCACGAACCGGAUUAGAUACCCGGGUAGUCCUAGCCGUAAACGAUACCCGCUAGGUGUCGGCCACGGUGCGACCGUUGUCGGUGCCGUAGGGAAGCCGUGAGGCGAGCCACCUGGGAAGUACGGCCGCAAGGCUGAAACUUAAAGGAAUUGGCGGGGGAGCACAAGGGCGAAUGC